Molecule: non-coding RNA, 27 nt
Filed under: Homo sapiens (human)
Lineage: Eukaryota; Metazoa; Chordata; Mammalia; Primates; Hominidae
Source: RNAcentral
UGACAUCUUCAGGAAUGUUGUUGGCCU